RNAcentral lists this long non-coding RNA (2803 nucleotides) under Salvia miltiorrhiza (redroot sage). Its description in RNAcentral is "long non-coding RNA (SMIL_LNC008036)". Lineage: Eukaryota; Viridiplantae; Streptophyta; Magnoliopsida; Lamiales; Lamiaceae. The record is from RNAcentral.
AUUGAUUUAUUCCAUUCUCAGACGCACAUGAUUCAAAAGCUUUCUUAGUCUCCUCUUGACCCUCAAUUCACUUCUUAUCAUUAACUUUCCUUAUGAAGCGAAUUUAGCAGCGCCUGCAUAUAAAUUGUGAAAGCACAGUUAGGCCUCAACAUGAGUAAAGCAUGUGAAAGGGUAGAAUUGCAACGUGGGCAGACAUAUGGAAGAGAUAAUAUGAGCACUAAAAUCUACAGUAUAACACAAGAUAGUAAACCACUACAUCAAACACAAAACUGCAAAAGACUUCAGCAAACUGUAGAAAAUAUAUCAAAGAGGAACUUGCAAGCAAUUCAAAAGACAACCACUAAAAACUUGUUUUGUUGCUUAAUUAUUGUUGUCGGCCAUGAGAGUUUCAACAUAUUGCUUCCAGGACUUUGCCUAAAAGAGGAAUUUAAAUAAGUAAUGAAGAAUAGUAAUGAUAGUGAACAAAAAGAUCAUAUGGCCAGAAUUACAUGCAUUGAACAAUCAGAACAACAAUAGUUAUCAAUGACAGAGUACAAACAAAGUGGAGGGAAGAAUCAUAUGUGAGUAUGUAAAGGACUGGUUAGAUGUGACCAUAACGUGAGAGAAAUAGGCACCCAAAUCUAGAACCAUUAUGCCAACAAUUAAAUGAAACUUGAUUUAAAGUAACAAAAAGUUUAAGAUAAAAGGAAAAUUUUUCAAACUACACUUAGAGUUCAAGUCCCAAAACAUUGGUAUAUCGCAACCAAAAUCUCAAGACAUAACAAACAAAUACAAAAUAAAGUUAGAAUUUAGUAAAAUUGUAAAGAGAGGCAGAGUUCAACUCUGGAAUAGAUUAACACUUACAUUUCUCUAUUUUGAUUACAAUAUACUCCCGAACUAUUCAAAAUGAAGAUAAAAAAAAAGAAGCAAAAGCUAGUUAGCUACUGAGGAAUGCCACACACCAGGUCAUAUGAUAUGGUGCAUGAGAAUAAUAACUUGCAAUGUGCAAAUAAUUAUAUACAUGUAAUAUGUCAUUUGUUGCACUACUUUGUUCCUUGACAGUUAUUAAUCAAGAAGACUAACUCUCUUUUCAUCACUUUCUUGGUUAAGUUUGCAAGCAAAUAAAAAGCAUUACAAUUUGACCUUUUAUAAAUGAGACAAGUUAGUGAAUACUUUAAAACAAAAUUUCUCAAGAAAUGAGUUUACCUGUCCUCAAUAUAUUUUUGUGUCCACAGACUUUGUUGUCAUUAAUAUAUUUUUGUUGUCCUCUCGAAUCCUACAUAAUUUCUAGCUUAAUUCAAACUACAUAAUUUCUAGCUUAACUCAAACGCAUGGAAAGAAAUGGAGAAAAACUGGAAUUAAUAAAAGAAACUACCUUAGAUCAUCAAGAGAAUGAUAAGUAAACAUGAUUCGUAAAAAGUAAUUUAUACCGUUUACUUACCAGUUAGUUAGCAUGGAGGUCAUGAUUUCUUACUCAAAUGGCGUAGCACCAUAACCUCAUGAUCCCCAAUGCUGAAAUGCUUUCAUAUUCCAUCAAAUAAAAUUGGUUAAAUAUUCUUAUCAUAAAAAUAAAAUAUUCUAAAUUCCAAACUUCAAAAGUAACAUGUCAUCUGAAAAGGUAGAGCACAUAUCAGAAGAGUAUAAUGUAUAAAUUCAAAAGCAUAAGCUGGUAGAAAAUAUAGUCUCAACGAAAGCUAAGCGGUAAUCUUCCAACUUUUCAGAUAAUUACAUAAUCUGAUCUACAAAUUCCUUCAGCAAAUCAUUAAUUAGUUAGAACUCAAGCUACCAAAUAAAAAUAGUUCAGUUGUCAUAAAAUUAACACAAAACAGUCACAAUAACAGUAUACUCAAAGAAUUCAUCAAAGAGAAUAUAAAUAAAAAAUAUUUGGAGUAUACUAAAAAAUCACUUAAAGAACAUGAUGACGAUAACUCAACGGUCACUCCGAUAAUAUUGAGAUCAAUAGAGUGAAAGUCACAUAUAAAAUAAUAUUAGAACUACUUAUCUUCCAAUUGCCGAAUUUUACUGUCAAUAAUUACAAAUUAUAAGCACAUAAGAAUCAAUCAUUAGAGGUAUAUAUGGACACUUCAAGGAGAAGAAUACAUACGCAAAACACUACUUUCAACUUUAUGUUCUAAAAAAUCAUUAAAACAUAAGUCCAACAGUUAUGCGUGAAGAGUGAAACACCUCUAAAAACAACACUGAAAUAAAAAAGGGAAUAUAAUCCUUGAACCAUAGCUGCCGCUGGUGCACAGAAAUACACCAACACGACACCCUUUCAAUCGGGGAAUCCGCCGCACGUGGAGGGCUGCAUCAGCCGAAGUUCUACAUUGCAGUAUUUCAAGAUGAUUAACAUUGAACCACCAUUUUUGAUGUUGGUUGUUUUCAAACCAAAAUCCGAUCUUGAUUUUAAAAAUCCAAUUUCAAAAUUUCAACUUAAAUUUUAAUUAACCCACGAAAAAAUUGAGAUUGGUUUUGCUUUUACCGUUUUGGGCGACAGUGGUCUGAUGCGGCGGCACUAGGGCAGCGAUUGACAACAGAGAAAUGGCGGCGGAGUCUUCGAUUGAGUUUGGUGAGCUAUGGAAUAGCGAUGAGAGGUUAUGGAAUCUGGAAAAGAGUUGACGAAAGGGGUUUCGGAUAUUGAGAAUUUUUCUUUAAAAUCAUAGGAGAAGAAUAGAAACAGAGAGAGAUUGGUUUUGCUUUUACCGUUUGGGAGACGUUGGUCUGAUGCGGCGGCGCUAGGGCGGCAGUUGACGAUCGAGAAAUGGUGGCCGAAUCUUCAAUUGAGUUUGGUGAGCGAUGGAUCGACGAAGAGCGGUUAUAGAAU